GAUGAACGCUGGCGGCGUGCUUAACACAUGCAAGUCGAACGAUGAAGGAGGAGCUUGCUCCUCCGGAUUAGUGGCGAACGGGUGAGUAACACGUGAGCAAUCUGCCCCAGACUCUGGGAUAAGCGUUGGAAACGACGUCUAAUACCGGAUACGAGCCAAGCAGGCAUCUGCAUCGGCUGGAAAUAACUUCGGUCUGGGAUGAGCUCGCGGCCUAUCAGCUAGUUGGUGAGGUAACGGCUCACCAAGGCGACGACGGGUAGCCGGCCUGAGAGGGUGACCGGCCACACUGGGACUGAGACACGGCCCAGACUCCUACGGGAGGCAGCAGUGGGGAAUAUUGCACAAUGGGCGCAAGCCUGAUGCAGCAACGCCGCGUGAGGGACGAAGGCCUUCGGGUUGUAAACCUCUUUUAGCAGGGAAGAAGCGAAAGUGACGGUACCUGCAGAAAAAGCACCGGCUAACUACGUGCCAGCCGCCGCAGUAA
RNAcentral lists this ribosomal RNA (484 nucleotides) under uncultured bacterium. Its description in RNAcentral is "partial 16S ribosomal RNA". It matches the Rfam family "Bacterial small subunit ribosomal RNA", at positions 28 to 523 of the family's 1533-position model. The record is from RNAcentral.